Long non-coding RNA from Symphalangus syndactylus (siamang), 6176 nucleotides. RefSeq lists it as uncharacterized. NCBI's taxonomy places the organism in Eukaryota, Metazoa, Chordata, Mammalia, Primates, Hylobatidae. The record is from RefSeq and is a predicted model, not a curated record.
GGCAACCUGCUGGGGUCCCUUUCCACACUGUGGAAGCUUUGUUCUUUUGCUCUUUGCAAUAAAUCUUGCUACUGCUCACUUUUUGGGUCCACACUGCUUUUAUGAGCUGUAACACUCGCCGUGAAGGUCUGCAGUUUCACUCCUGAAGCCAGCGAGACCACGAGCCCACCGGGAGGAAGGAACAACUCCAGACGCGCCGCCUUAAGAGCUGUAACACUUACCGCAAAGGUCUGCAGCUUCACUCCUGAGCCAGCGAGAACCACGAACCCACCAGAAGGAAGAAACUCCGAACGCAUCUGAACAUCAAAAGGAACAAACUCCAGACGCGCCACCUUAAGAGCUGUAACACUCACUGCGAGGGUCCGCGGCUUCAUUCUUGAAGUCAGUGAGACCAAGAACCCACCAAUUCCGGACGCGAUAUGGUUUGGCUCCGUGUCCGCACCCAAAUCUCAUCUUGAAUUGUCCUCCCAUAAUUCCCACAUGUUGUGGGAGGGACCUGGUGGGAGAUAGUUGAAUCAUGGGGGCAGUUUCCCCCAUACUGUUCUUUUGGUAGUAAAUAAGUCUCACGAGAUCUGAUGGGCUUUCGCUUCUUUUUCAUCUCUUUUGCCACUGCUACUUAAGAAGUGCCUUUUGCCCUCACCAGGAUUGUGAGGUCUUCCCAGCCAUGAGGAACUGUACUGUGCUAAAUAUUUUAAGUGAAUGAUUUUUACGAAUCCUCAUGGUAGCCUUGUCAGUAUGCACCGUAGUACCCUCAUCCCAUGGAAGACUGCUUCUUCUUGGUGUGGUUAGGUCAACACUGCCAAGGUCAAGCAGGUGAAGAUCCUGAAUACCAGAGAGGGCUGCUGACAGGUCCAGGAUUACACUUCUAGCACCUAGCAGAGAGAGGAUUCACUUCAUCGUGCUUCCUGACAUCUCUCCCUUUGAAGAGCAGUCAGACUCCUGCUUUGCUCUUCAGACUUAGUUUGGGGGUUUAACAGCCACGUGAAGUGCUCACUGCCCCUUUGCCUUCUGCCAUGAUUGUAAGUUUCCUAAGGCCUCCCCAGAAGCUGAGCAGAUGCUUCCUGUACAGCCUGCAGAACUGGGUAGCCCACAGCUAUUCCAUGGAUGGGCACAUUUGGAAGUUUGGUUCUAAAAUCUAAAAGAAGAAAUUUAAGUGUGCUGAAGAUAACUGCAACUCCCAACCUAAUGCCGUGUAGUUCUAUGUUCUGCCAUCUUGAAGCAAAGUGGAACCAGAAGUGAGAGGACUAUUUCUAGGUCAUGUUAUGGUUACCCUGACCCCAGUCACUCCCUCUGCUGGUCCAUCCAAACUCAGAGCCAUGAUCAAGGCCCUUCUACAACACAGAUCUGAUUACUUCACUCUCUUUUGUGGGGUAAAUAUAAGCCAAGAGCCAAGCAGGUGCACUGUGGAGGAGGCGAGAAUGCAAGAAGAAAAAAAGAAAGCCCGCCGGGCACGGUGGCUCACGCCUGCAAUCCCAGCACUUUGGGAGGCCAAGAGUUCAACAGCGAGUGCCGGGGGAAGAUCAAGGAAAAAUUGUCUGCAUCUUGAUUCCAGAUUUUAAAAGCUCUGUAACCCUCACUCCAAGGGUUGUGCUUGCAGAAGAGAAAACAUUACCGCUGGGACUAAAAAACAAAAUCCUUUCACAAAUGUAACUGAGUUUGUUUGCAUGCUCUGGAAUAUAAAUGUUUGAAAAUCUGCAAUGGCAAUGAAAUAAGGUAUCAAAUUUUACAGGCAAAAAGCCAUAGAACCAAUAUUCCAAAAAUGGCUCAUUAAUUUCUUUUUUUACCCACCAACUGCACAGCUUGAGAAUGUAUUUUAAAAAUCUGAUCUUGUUUUAAACUAUUAAAAUAUUUUCCAGUGUCUAAAUAGCAGCCAGUUCUUAUAUUAUUCAUGAUUGCAGCCUGUCAUUGUGACCAGUUUUUUCCACUACUUAAUUGAGUGUAGUAUCAUUUCCAUUUUGCUACUGCCUGAUAGUACUGAAAAAUGUAAGCUAUAAAACUGCACUCCUCAAGAAAUAUUAAUGGAGAAGGAUGUCCAUAUCCUUUUACAAUGCUUAAAAGCUUAAGCUGUAAUAAUAAAAAGUUGGCAUGUAUUUCCUGAAAAAAUCAAAAGAAGAACUUGAAGGAAAUGAAAGUAAAAUCCAAUAGGAUUAUAAAAUUAGAACAGAGUUAAGGAAAAAUAUUUUGAGUACCAGAAGAAAUCUAAAAUAAAUAAAAAAUAAUAAUACAUUUGUGAUACUGUGAUGUGACCCAGACAAUCGGUACUAAAUUAUGUAAUUGGAGACUCCUUGAAGAAUCUAGCAAUGCACUCAUUGGAGGAAGGCAAUAAAAACAUCUUUCCCUGGAUACCCAUCUGGAUUUAACCAGCUAGAUAAAGGGAAAAAUGAACUGGUAGUUUAGAGAGAAAGCACUAGGACAAAACCUUGUCAGCCAUCAGAAUGGUGAGACUAAGGAAAUGGAGGAACCAAAUUCUUGACAUGGCUGGUCUAUGCUUAAAGAGGAAGGGGACAGUAUCAUACUCUACUCUAUUAUUGAUAACCAGAAGAAAUGGUGAAGCUAUUUGGUUCAAGUUGAUUAGUAACAUCUUCAUACCUAGUAAAGUGUCAUAAGUCUCAUUUAAAGCCAUGGAGAGUUACCACACAUAGUUAAGAAUUUAAGAUUUGAAAGGAGUUAAGGUAAAAUCUCUCUCUUGGUAUAUGGCUAAGAAUUUCCAGGAGAGGUGUUACAAAACUCAACAAGGCUGGUAUAUUAGUCUGUUCUUGCAUUGCUAUAAAUAAAUGAGACUGCAUAAUUCAUAAAGAAAAAAGAUUUAAUUGGCUCACUGUUCUACAGGCUUUAUAGGAAGCAUGGUGCUGACAUCUGCUUGGCUUUUGGGGAGGCUUCAGGAGACUUAAAAUCAUGAUGGAAGCUGAAAGGAGGAGCAGGCAGGUCACAUGGAAAAAGCAGGAGAAACAGAUAGAGGGAUGUGUUGCUACACACCUUAAAACAACCAGAUCUUCAAAGAACUCAUUUGCUAUUGUGAGAAUAGUACCAACAGGACGGUGCUAAACCAUUCAUGAGAAAUCAUCCCUUGUGAUCCAAUCACCUCCCACCAGGCCCCACCUCCAACAUUGGAGAUGAUUACAGUUCAACAUGAGAUUUGGGUGGAACAUACAAACCAUAUCAUUUUGCCUCUGGCCCCCCAAAUCUCAUUUACUUCUCACAUUGCAAAAUACAAUCGUGCCUUCCCAGUAGUCCCUGAAAGUCUUAACUCAUUCUAGCAUUAACUCAAAAGUCCGAAGUCCAAGUUUCAUCUAAGACGGGGUAAGUCUCUGCCACCCAUAAGCCUGUAAAAUUAAAGACAAUUUAUGUACUUCCAAGAUAUAAUGGGGUUAUAAGCAUUGGGUAAUCAUUCUCAUUACAAAAGGGAGAAAUGAGCCAAAAGAAAGAGAAGUACAGGGCCCAUGCAAGUCCAAAACCCAACAGGGCAGUCAUUAAAUCUUAAGGCUCCAAAAUUAUCUCCUUUGACUCCAUGUCUUGCCUCCAGGACACAAUGGUACAAGGGAUGGGUUCCCAAUGCCUUGGGCAGCUCUGCCCCUAUGGCUUGGCAAAGUUCAGCUCCAGAGGCUGCUGUCACAGGUUGUUGAGUGCCUGUGGCUUUUCCAUGCUGAGUAUGCAUGCUGGCGGUGGAUCUACCAUUAUGGAGUCUGCAGGACAGUGGCCUUCUUCCCACAGCUCCAUUAGGCAGUGCCCCAGUGGGGACUCUAAGUGGAGCCUCCAACCCAUUUUCCCUCUGCACUGCCCUAGUAGAUGUUCUUUGUGAGGGCUCUGACCCUGCAGCAGGCUUCUGCUUGGGCACCCAGUCUUUCUUAUAUUUGCUAUUACUUUUAAUGGCAAAAACCACAAUUACUUUUGCACCAACAUAAUACGUCCUCUGAAAUCUAGGCAGAGAACAUCAAGCCUCAUUAAUUAUUGCACUCUGUGUGGCCACAGGCGUAAAGCCACAUGGAAGCCACCAAGACUUACAGUAGCUUAUGCCCUCUGGAACUAUGGCCAAACCUGUACCUGGGCCCCUUAAAGCGGAGGCUGGAGCCAGAGCAGCUGGGAUGUGGGAGCUGCAUCCCGAGGCUACACACAGGGCAGUGGAGCCCUUGGCCCAGGAAAGCAUUCUUCCUUUCUAGGCCUCUGGGUCUGUGAUGGGAGAGGCUGCUGUGCAGGUCUAUGAAAGGCCUUCGAAGCCUUUUUCUUGUUGUCUUGGCUAUUAGCACUUGGCUUCUUCUUAUAUACAAAUAUCUCUAAUAAGUGGUUGAUCCACAGUCUGCUUGACUUCCUCUCCCAAAAUAGCUUUUUCUUUCUCUGCCUAGACAUGAAUAGGUUGCAAAACUUUCAAACUUUUACACUCUGCUUUCCUUUUAAAUAUUAAAGUUCCAACUUAUUUGUUUGCUCCUGUAUAUGAACAUAGGCUGUUAGAAGCAGUCAUGUUACUUCUUAAACACUUACUUUGCUGCUUAGAAAUUUAUUUCACCAGAUACCCUAGGUCAUCACUCUCAAUUUCAAACUUCCACAUAUCCCUAGGGCAUGGCCACAAUCCAGCCAAGCUCUUUUGCUGAGGCAUAGCAUAUAUGACCUUUGCUUCAGUUCCGAAUAAGAUCCUCAUUUCCAUCUGAUACCUCAUCAGGCAGGCAUUCACUCUCCAUAUCACCAUCAGCAUUUUGGUCACAACCAUCUAACCAGUCUCUACAAAGUUCCAAACUUACCCUGUCUUCUUCUGAGCUCUCCAAACUCUUCCAACAUUUGUCUGUUACCCAGUUCCAAAGCUGCUUCUAAAUUUUAGAUAUCUUUAUAGCAAUGCCCCACUUCUCAGGACCAAUUUUCUGUAUUAGUUCAUUCUUGCAUCACUAUAAGGAAAUACCUGAGACUGGGUAAUUUAUAAAGAAAAGAAGUUAAAUUGGCUCAUGGUUUUGCAGACUAUACAGGAAGCAUGGCACGACAUCUGCUCAACUUCUGGAGAGGCUUCAGGAACUUACAAUCAUGAUGGAAGGUGAAAGGGGAGCAGGCAGGUCAUAUGAGGAGAGCAGGAGCACGAGAGAGAGGGGAGUGCUACACACUUUUAAAUGACCAGAUCUUGCAAGAACUAUUUUUCAGUUUGUCUUUGAUUCACAUAGUUUCAUGUAAUAAAUCUUCAAAAUAGUCAGGGAAUGAAUUGUAAACACCCCUUACUCCUUACCAGUUCCUCUGCUUGAGUUCUAUUACUGUGUAUCUCCUAAAAUUUACAUUUAAAAAUAUUUCUGCCUGUUUUAAGUAUUUAUUUUGCUUCUUUGCUCAGCAAUAAAGUUGUCUUUAUCCACUGAAUCCACCUUUGCAGUUUUUCUGAACAUUGUUCUGUUCAUGGAAACCUACAUAAAUUCUUCCUAGACAAAUGUGGCUUUGCAUGCAUGUGUGUGUACAUGCACCCACACAGACAAAUUGUCCCACACUCACAGGCAUAUGCAGUGCUAUGCAUACCAUUUCAUGGGUUCAUCAAUCCCAUAAUUCUAUCUAUGAAUACCAGGUUAGGAAUUCUUGCUGUGUUGAUUUGUGUUGUUCUGGCCUUAGACAAAAUUGUUAUGAAGGGCCAGUCUGCCUCUAGUUCAUCCUGCUUCUUUGUAGUGAGCACUUACGGAGUGUCUGUGGUAUGCUGUGCCAGGUUUUGCUUUAGAUGACAAAGGCACAAGUUUGCUGGACUUAUUUUGUUUCUUUCUCUAUAGAAUGUCUAGAAUUACUCUAUACUCCUUUUCAUCUCUACCCAAAUGAUCUUCGUUGGUAAAACUUUAAACACGCCACAUAAUUUACAUGUCACAUAUUUUAAUCAAAGCACAAAGGUUUGAAUUUUCUGUGAGCAAAUUUCUUAUUAAAAAUCCUUUACUGUAAGAGUUUAAAAAGACAUUGAAGACUUUGGCAAAGUUACCUGGAAAAAACAAUUCUCUUUGGAGCUUUGCUCUGGCCUGCUUGGAAAAGCAUCUUUUCUUCAGCCAAUCAGCCUGGAAUUCACUGUAAUGCUCAUCGGGCCAUGUGAUGUACACCUUAUAACACAAAAAGCAAAUUUCACCGAUGUGGAUUUUAUUUCCGUUCUCCUCUAUUGCUCUGCUUUUGAAUGCUCUUUAAGAUAAUCAGGGAAUCCAAUUAUGCUUUGCUUAAUUUUUUUUUUAGACAGAGUCUUG